UGGUGGCGAUAGCGAAGAGGUCACACCCGUUCCCAUACCGAACACGGAAGUUAAGCUCUUCAGCGCCGAUGGUAGUUGGGGGUUUCCCCCUGUGAGAGUAGGACGCCGCCAAGC
Molecule: ribosomal RNA, 114 nt
Filed under: Bacillus stratosphericus
Lineage: Bacteria; Bacillati; Bacillota; Bacilli; Caryophanales; Bacillaceae
Also listed under: 1 other name
Source: RNAcentral